RNA transcript from Peromyscus leucopus (white-footed mouse), 1525 nucleotides. It is a transcript of the gene named capping actin protein of muscle Z-line subunit alpha 3, with no coding region annotated. The record is from RefSeq and is a predicted model, not a curated record. NCBI's taxonomy places the organism in Eukaryota, Metazoa, Chordata, Mammalia, Rodentia, Cricetidae. The transcript is spliced from 3 exons.
CUAAGGGCCUGAGUGGAAGUCAGUGCCCUAUGACAGCUGAAGGGACAACACACUGUCCAGCAUCAACUAAAAACCCCAGGCAACUUCUCUAGACUGCCAAAAACACAUAAUGGACACAGAAAAAGACACACCACUUUCAGAGAAGACUCAUCAGGAAGCAAGUUCUUAAAACCUUCACAAUUGGUAGAGCUGGUGGGCCGGGCACCACAGCGUCAGGGUGACUAUCAUUUUCUUCUUUGGUUCUGAGCACUCAUUGUGACAUCAUUCCAAGUUCCAUGCUUCUCUGUGACUUCACCAGGAGAUACAGAGCUUGUCUGACUGCCCAUCUUCAUGCGCGGACAUACUGAUCUAAGGCUUAAAUGAUUAACACCUUGAAUGGGCAUGGAUCGCUUUCUCACCCUGUGAACACCAUUCAUUUCAGAAGCUCUGCUUCUGCUGCAACUAGACAUGUCACUCAGUGUCUUGAGUAGAAAAGAGAAAGAGAAGGUCAUCCGUAGACUCUUAGUCCAGGCUCCUCCUGGGGAAUUUGUGAAUGCCUUUGAUGAUCUCUGUCUGCUUAUCCGCGAUGAGAAGCUCAUGCACCAUCAGGGUGAGUGUGCCGGCCAUCAGCACUGCCAGAAAUACUGUGUUCCACUCUGCAUCGAUGGCAACCCAGUCCUCCUGUCUCACCACAAUGUGAUGGGUGACUUCCGGUUCUUUGACUAUCAGAGCAAACUUUCUUUCAGGUUUGACCUGCUCCAGAAUCAGCUGAGAGACAUCCAAAGCCAUGGAAUCAUUCGGAAUGAGACUGAGUACCUGAGAUCUGUUGUUCUGUGCGCCUUAAAACUCUAUGUGAAUGAUCACUACCCAAGUGGAAAUUGCAAUGUGCUGAGAAAAACAGUCAAAAAUAAAGAAUUCUUAAUCGCUUGCAUAGAAGACCACAGCUACGACAAUGGAGACUGUUGGAAUGGUCUUUGGAAGUCUAAGUGGAUCUUCCAGGUGAACCCAUUUCUAACCCAAGUAACAGGAAGAAUUUUUGUGCAAGCUCACUUCUUCAGGUGUGUCAAUCUUCAUAUUGAAAUCUCCAAGGACCUGAAGGAAAGCUUGGAGGUGGUCAAUCAAGCCCAGUUGGCUCUCAGUUUUGCAAGGCUUGUGGAAGAACAAGAGAAUAAGUUUCAAGCUGCUGUCUUAGAAGAGUUACAGGAGCUGUCCAAUGAAGCCCUGAGAAAAAUUCUACGGAGGGACCUUCCAGUGACCCGCACCUUGAUUGACUGGCAGAGGAUCCUCUCUGACUUGAAUCUGUAUACUACAGGUGAGAAGAAAGUAAAUGAACUGUGAGGACUGGGAAGGAAAUGAUUAAGUUAAUAGCCAAAAGAAGAGAAGCAAGGAGCCAACCCCAAACGAAGAUCCUGAGAGCACAGCAAGGGAAAUAGAGGUUCUCCAUGGAGUGAGAUGCUCUGUCUCUGUCUGGAGUUUGGGUCACAUCCCAUCACCUGCUUUAAAACAUUUCUACGAACCCAUCAAUAGAAACCUGGAUGCUGUUGAA